GCGCUCGUAGCUCAAUUGGAUAGAGCAACGGACUUCGGAUCCGUAGGUUGUAGGUUCGACUCCUGUCGGGCGCACCA
RNAcentral lists this transfer RNA (77 nucleotides) under Campylobacterota bacterium. Its description in RNAcentral is "tRNA-Arg". It matches the Rfam family "tRNA". From Rfam's summary of the family: Transfer RNA (tRNA) molecules are approximately 80 nucleotides in length. Their secondary structure includes four short double-helical elements and three loops (D, anti-codon, and T loops). Lineage: Bacteria; Pseudomonadati; Campylobacterota. RNAcentral also lists the same sequence under 4 other names. The record is from RNAcentral.